AGAGCCCAAACCAAGAAGCUUGCUUCUUGGGGUUGUAGGACACUCUAUACGGAGUUACAAAAGAAAGUUAUAAAUGAAGCGGUCUGGAAAGGCCCGCCAAAGACGGUAACAGCCCGGUAGUUGAAAUAGCUUUCCCUCCAGAGUGGAUCCUGAGUACGGCGGAACACGUGAAAUUCCGUCGGAAUCCGGGAGGACCAUCUCCCAAGGCUAAAUACUCCCUAGUGACCGAUAG
Molecule: ribosomal RNA, 232 nt
Filed under: Listeria monocytogenes
Lineage: Bacteria; Bacillati; Bacillota; Bacilli; Caryophanales; Listeriaceae
Description: partial 23S ribosomal RNA
Rfam family: Bacterial large subunit ribosomal RNA
Source: RNAcentral